UACGAAGGGUGCAAGCGUUACUCGGAAUUACUGGGCGUAAAGCGUGCGUAGGCGGUUUGUUAAGUCCGUUGUGAAAGCCCUGGGCUCAACCUGGGAAUUGCAGUGGAUACUGGCGAGCUAGAGUGCGGUAGAGGAUGGUGGAAUUCCCGGUGUAGCGGUGAAAUGCGUAGAGAUCGGGAGGAACACCCGUGGCGAAGGCGGCCAUCUGGGAAGGUACUGACGCUGAGACGCGAAAGCGUGGGGAGCAAACAGG
Molecule: ribosomal RNA, 253 nt
Filed under: uncultured bacterium
Lineage: Bacteria
Description: partial 16S ribosomal RNA
Rfam family: Bacterial small subunit ribosomal RNA
Source: RNAcentral